GUUUCACAGCUACUUCUAUGUAUGUGUGGGGCCGGAUCAGAAGACUACGUUCGCUCAGGAGUCAGGAUUGCAGCAGGAGAAAGAACACAACAACAACUUCUGGAAAAGAAAACUCAACAGAAAGUAAACAACAAAAAUGCACAGUGUGAUGAACAACUUCCAGAUUCUAUGAAAUGGGAUGGCUCGCCAGUUUCUGCAACCGUGUGUCUCUCUCUCUCUCGAUGGACAGCAGAAACAAUUCUUCCAAACGUCAACAAAACUCCAGAUCCAGAAUCAGCAUUGCUCUCAGGAACAUCAAUAAACAAAGAAGAGAGAAAAAAAAAAGAAAAGAAACCAACAAAAAAAACCCAACCUUGCAAAACAAGGCAGAAAAUUACAAUUAAUAUCAGAGCUCUCAAUAUCAAAAGCAUAUUUCAGUAACACACUGAAAAAAUGUACAAUUGCACUCACAAUAUACACAUCUCUUUUUCUUUAAACACAUUUCUCAUUAAAAUACAACAACUGAUUUGCUCAACUUACUCAACCCAUAUAAAUCAAUGCGUUAGCCAUUAGCUAAGACCGCAUGGUUAGCAUAACUCCCUGUGCUUAGCAUCACACUUUCAGCACAUAUUAUUGACAUAAAAUAACCAUUUGACCACAAAUCAACAUAUAUACACAUAUAUUUUUCUUCUAAAACAUUGAACAGAAAUAAAGCAUAAUUUAGACGUUUGUUUUGUAGUGAAACACUACACUAACUAAUUUA
This is a long non-coding RNA of Carassius gibelio (silver crucian carp), 742 nucleotides long. RefSeq lists it as uncharacterized. The record is from RefSeq and is a predicted model, not a curated record. NCBI's taxonomy places the organism in Eukaryota, Metazoa, Chordata, Actinopteri, Cypriniformes, Cyprinidae. The transcript is spliced from 3 exons.